This 566-nucleotide ribosomal RNA is filed under the name uncultured bacterium. RNAcentral's name for it is "partial 16S ribosomal RNA". It matches the Rfam family "Bacterial small subunit ribosomal RNA", at positions 355 to 914 of the family's 1533-position model. The record is from RNAcentral.
UGGGGAAUUUUGGACAAUGGGCGAAAGCCUGAUCCAGCAAUGCCGCGUGUGUGAAGAAGGCCUUCGGGUUGUAAAGCACUUUUGUCCGGAAAGAAAUCCUUGGCUCUAAUACAGUCGGGGGAUGACGGUACUGGAAGAAUAAGCACCGGCUAACUACGUGCCAGCAGCCGCGGUAAUACGUAGGGUGCAAGCGUUAAUCGGAAUUACUGGGCGUAAAGCGUGCGCAGGCGGUUUGCUAAGACCGAUGUGAAAUCCCCGGGCUCAACCUGGGAACUGCAUUGGUGACUGGCAGGCUAGAGUAUGGCAGAGGGGGGUAGAAUUCCACGUGUAGCAGUGAAAUGCGUAGAGAUGUGGAGGAAUACCGAUGGCGAAGGCAGCCCCCUGGGCCAAUACUGACGCUCAUGCACGAAAGCGUGGGGAGCAAACAGGAUUAGAUACCCUGGUAGUCCACGCCCUAAACGAUGUCAACUAGUUGUUGGGGAUUCAUUUCCUUAGUAACGUAGCUAACGCGUGAAGUUGACCGCCUGGGGAGUACGGUCGCAAGAUUAAAACUCAAAGGAAUUGAC